RNAcentral lists this ribosomal RNA (253 nucleotides) under uncultured bacterium. Its description in RNAcentral is "partial 16S ribosomal RNA". It matches the Rfam family "Bacterial small subunit ribosomal RNA", at positions 524 to 776 of the family's 1533-position model. The record is from RNAcentral.
UACAGAGGGGGCAAGCGUUGUUCGGCAUUACUGGGCGUAAAGGGCGCGUAGGCGGCCCGCUAAGUCGAACGUGAAAUCCCCGAGCUCAACUCGGGAACUGCGUCCGAUACUGGUGGGCUUGAAUCCGGGAGAGGGAUGCGGAAUUCCAGGUGUAGCGGUGAAAUGCGUAGAUAUCUGGAGGAACACCGGUGGCGAAGGCGGCGUUCUGGACUGCAACUGACACUGAGAAACGAAAGCCAGGGUAGCAAACGGG